This is a long non-coding RNA of Ctenopharyngodon idella (grass carp), 588 nucleotides long. RefSeq lists it as uncharacterized. The transcript is spliced from 3 exons. The record is from RefSeq and is a predicted model, not a curated record. NCBI's taxonomy places the organism in Eukaryota, Metazoa, Chordata, Actinopteri, Cypriniformes, Xenocyprididae.
UGUCUCUAUGAUGACUGUAAUGAUGUUCCAGAUAUGGAUACAAGCAAAUUAGCUUAACUUUGUUCAAAACGUAAAGAUACAGUAUGCUAUAUUUGAGAAAUACACAUGGCAUCAUGGCACCACAUUUUAUGAUUCUCCAUUUCUGAAUUCUCCACCUCCUAAAUCACCUCUGGGACAAAGUGAGCCAUCUUCAAGCAAUAUAAAGCCUCCAGAGAUACUGAUGUGUCUUCACACAUGGUAGGAGUGCAUUUGCAGGUCUCUAUGUACGUGUAGUGAUGAAGGAUCUCGCUGCCAUUGGCACACUUCAGCAUCACAUCUUUACGGAUGAUACUCUCCUCCCGGCAGCAAGAACAGCUGUGCAUCAUGAUGUCAUUUUCCAUUGAAUACCUGUGCAGAUUUCCAAGAAAACACUGGUCAGAUGACUGUAGCACAGCUAAAUGUGUGUAAUGCUCUCACAUUGAUCCAUCGUCACAGUGGCCAGCGCAGGAAGUAACUUCUACAUCCUCAAUGGAAGUGCAUUCAUUGACAUGCAGACGGGUGACGUUCUUCGCACGAACACAGUUGCUGAGUUCACCUGAGAGAUGAUAG